AAAACACCUGCUAUCAAGAGGUUCAUGGGCAAAUACACAUAGCCACUCAAAACACCUGCAAUCAAGAGGUUCAUGGGCAAAUACACAUAGCCACUCAAAAUACCUGCUAUCAAGAGGUUCAAGGGCAAAUACACAUAGCCACUCAAAACACCUGCUAUCAAGAGGUUCAAGGGCAAAUACACAUAGCCACUCAAAACACCUACUAUCAAGAGGUUCAAGGGCAAAUACACAUAGCCACUCAAAACACC
Haliotis rubra (blacklip abalone) is the source of this 248-nucleotide long non-coding RNA. RefSeq lists it as uncharacterized. The transcript is spliced from 3 exons. NCBI's taxonomy places the organism in Eukaryota, Metazoa, Mollusca, Gastropoda, Lepetellida, Haliotidae. The record is from RefSeq and is a predicted model, not a curated record.